RNAcentral lists this ribosomal RNA (459 nucleotides) under uncultured bacterium. RNAcentral describes it as "partial 16S ribosomal RNA". It matches the Rfam family "Bacterial small subunit ribosomal RNA", at positions 339 to 795 of the family's 1533-position model. The record is from RNAcentral.
CUACGGGUGGCUCCAGUGAGGAAUAUUGGGCAAUGGGCGGGAGCCUGACCCAGCCAUCCCGCGUGCAGGAUGACGGCCCUAUGGGUUGUAAACUGCUUUUCCAUACCAAGAAACCUGAUUACGUGUAAUUAGUUGCCGGUAGUAUGGGAAUAAGCAUCGGCUAACUCCGUGCCAGCAGCCGCGGUAAUACGGAGGAUGCAAGCGUUAUCCGGAUUCAUUGGGUUUAAAGGGUGCGCAGGUGGGCUUGUAAGUCAGUGUUGAAAUGUUGCCGCUUAACGGUAAAAUUGCCAUUGAUACUGCAAGUCUUGAAUAUAGUUGAGGUAGGCGGAAUGUGUUGUGUAGCGGUGAAAUGCAUAGAUAUGACACAGAACACCGAUUGCGAAGGCAGCUUACUAAGCUAUUAUUGACGCUGAGGCACGAAAGCGUGGGGAUCGAACAGGAUUAGAUACCCUAGUAGUC